CAGGAACACACAGCAGAGAUUGCAGAUACAAGGCUAUCUAGAUGGGUGACCUCUAGUGUAUUUAGAAGUUUUUAAUGACAUCAGUUUCGUUACAGAUGUGGAUUUCUCUACUUUACUAGAGUUUAAAGGCCCCUGCGUAAGAACAUCACAUUUGAUGUGAUGCAUUUUGUAAGUUGGGAGGAAUUUUUCCAGCUGAUUUGAAGUGAUCUGGUCAUUGCGGUCAGAGGACAGGGAUCACCAUGGGGAGCAAUUCACAACCCUGCUGGAAGUCAUUGCCUGCAUCAUGGAUAAAGUGAGAUUCUGCAAAGCAGAGCAAGCUGCUCAACAGGAGAUGUCUGACCUCAAUCAGGGAACACAUCUUAGGAUUGAGGAGAAGGAUCUUUCAAGAAAGACUUCAAGUGGAAUGAGAAUACAAUAUGUCUUUUCAUUACGGAGUAUGAAGGAUAAAAG
Molecule: long non-coding RNA, 450 nt
Organism: Grus americana (Whooping crane)
Lineage: Eukaryota; Metazoa; Chordata; Aves; Gruiformes; Gruidae
Exons: 3
Source: RefSeq, a predicted model, not a curated record